ACUCCUACGGGAGGCAGCAGUGGGGAAUAUUGCACAAUGGGAAAGCCAUCGAUGCAGCCAUGCCGCGCUGUGUGAAGAAGGCCAAUUCGGGCUUGGUUAAAGACACUUUCAGUAGGGAGGAAGGUAGUGUAGUUAACACCUGCAUUAUUUGACGUUACCUACAGAAGAAGCACCGGCUAACUCCGUGCCAGCAGCCGCGGUAAUACGGAGGGUGCGAGCGUUAAUCGGAAUUACUGGGCGUAAAGCGCAUGCAGGCGGCCUGUUAAGUCAGAUGUGAAAGCCCGGGCUUAACCUCGGAAUUGCAUUUGAAACUGGCAGGCUAGAGUCUUGUAGAGGGGGUGAGAAUUGAUCAGGUGUAGCGGUG
This 364-nucleotide ribosomal RNA is filed under the name uncultured bacterium. Its description in RNAcentral is "bacterial SSU rRNA". It matches the Rfam family "Bacterial small subunit ribosomal RNA", at positions 335 to 683 of the family's 1533-position model. The record is from RNAcentral.